UUAAGUGAAUAAGGGCGCACGGUGGAUGCCUUGGCACUAGGAGCCGAUGAAGGACGGGACUAACACCGAUAUGCUUUGGGGAGCUGUACGUAAGCUAUGAUCCAGAGAUUUCCGAAUGGGGGAACCCAACAUCUUUAAUAGGAUGUUACGAUUGUGUGAAUACAUAGCACAUUCGAGGUAGACGCAGAGAACUGAAACAUCUAAGUACCUGCAGGAAGAGAAAGAAAAUUCGAUUCCCUGAGUAGCGGCGAGCGAAACGGGAAAAGCCCAAACCAGCAAGCUUGCUUGUUGGGGUUGUAGGACUCCAAUAUGGUAGUUCUUUCAGAUAGUCGAAUGACUUGGAAAAGUCAGUCAAAGAGGGUAAAAACCCCGUAGACGAAAUGUGGAAGACACCUAGGAGGAUCCUGAGUACGGCGGAACACGAGAAAUUCCGUCGGAAUCCGGGAGGACCAUCUCCCAAGGCUAAAAUACUCCCUAGUGACCGAUAGUGAACCAGUACCGUGAGGGAAAGGUGAAAAGCACCCCGGAAGGGGAGUGAAAUAGAACCUGAAACCGUGUGCCUACAACAAGUCAAAGCCCGUUAAUGGGUGAUGGCGUGCCUUUUGUAGAAUGAACCGGCGAGUUACGAUUGCAUGCGAGGUUAAGUUGAAGAGACGGAGCCGCAGCGAAAGCGAGUCUGAAUAGGGCGUUUGAGUAUGUAGUCGUAGACCCGAAACCAUGUGAUCUACCCAUGUCCAGGUUGAAGGUGCGGUAAAACGCACUGGAGGACCGAACCCACGUACGUUGAAAAGUGCGGGGAUGAGGUGUGGGUAGCGGAGAAAUUCCAAACGAACUUGGAGAUAGCUGGUUCUCUCCGAAAUAGCUUUAGGGCUAGCCUCGGAAUUGAGAAUGAUGGAGGUAGAGCACUGUUUGGACUAGGGGCCCAUCUCGGGUUACCGAAUUCAGAUAAACUCCGAAUGCCAUUCAUUCAUAUCCGGGAGUCAGACUGUGAGUGAUAAGAUCCAUAGUCGAGAGGGAAACAGCCCAGACCACCAGCUAAGGUCCCAAAAUAUAUGUUAAGUGGAAAAGGAUGUGGGGUUGCACAGACAACUAGGAUGUUGGCUUAGAAGCAGCCACCAUUUAAAGAGUGCGUAAUAGCUCACUAGUCGAGUGACCCUGCGCCGAAAAUGUACCGGGGCUAAACAUAUUACCGAAGCUGUGGAGUACACCUUUAGGUGUAUUGGUAGGAGAGCGUUCUAAGGGCGUUGAAGGCAGAUCGUGAGGACUGCUGGAGCGCUUAGAAGUGAGAAUGCCGGUAUGAGUAGCGAAAGACAGGUGAGAAUCCUGUCCACCGAAUGACUAAGGUUUCCUGGGGAAGGCUCGUCCGCCCAGGGUUAGUCGGGACCUAAGCCGAGGCCGACAGGCGUAGGCGAUGGAUAACAGGUUGAUAUUCCUGUACCCGUUGUUUUUGUUUGAGCAAUGGAGGGACGCAGGAGGCUAAGGAAUGCAGACGAUCGGAAAUGUCUGUCCAAGCAGUAAGUCUGAAGAGGAGUCAAAUGCUUCUUUUCUUAAGGACAAGCUGUGAUGGGGAGGGAAAUAAUAGUACCGAAGUUCCUGAUGUCACACUGCCGAGAAAAGCUUCUAGUGAGAAAACAGCGGCCCGUACCGCAAACCGACACAGGUAGUCGAGGAGAGAAUCCUAAGGUGAGCGAGAGAACUCUCGUUAAGGAACUCGGCAAAAUGACCCCGUAACUUCGGGAGAAGGGGUGCUGAUCAUACGAUCAGCCGCAGUGAAUAGGCCCAAGCGACUGUUUAUCAAAAACACAGGUCUCUGCAAAAUCGUAAGAUGAAGUAUAGGGGCUGACGCCUGCCCGGUGCUGGAAGGUUAAGAGGAGUGCUUAGCGCAAGCGAAGGUACGAAUUGAAGCCCCAGUAAACGGCGGCCGUAACUAUAACGGUCCUAAGGUAGCGAAAUUCCUUGUCGGGUAAGUUCCGACCCGCACGAAAGGCGUAACGAUUUGGGCACUGUCUCAACGAGAGACUCGGUGAAAUUUUAGUACCUGUGAAGAUGCAGGUUACCCGCGACAGGACGGAAAGACCCCAUGGAGCUUUACUGUAGUUUGAUAUUGAGUGUCUGUACCGCAUGUACAGGAUAGGUAGGAGCCGUAGAAAUCGGAACGCUAGUUUCGAUGGAGGCGCUGGUGGGAUACUACCCCUGCGUUAUGGCCACUCUAACCCGCACCACUAAUCGUGGUGGGAGACAGUGUCAGAUGGGCAGUUUGAUGGGGCGGUCGCCUCCUAAAAGGUAACGGAGGCGCCCAAAGGUUCCUCAGAAUGGUUGGAAAUCAUUCGAAGAGUGUAAAGGCAGAGGGGAGCUUGACUGCGAGACCAACAAGUCGAGCAGGGACGAAAGUCGGGCUUAGUGAUCCGGUGGUUCCGCAUGGAAGGGCCAUCGCUCAACGGAUAAAAGCUACCCUGGGGAUAACAGGCUUAUCUCCCCCAAGAGUCCACAUCGACGGGGAGGUUUGGCACCUCGAUGUCGGCUCGUCGCAUCCUGGGGCUGUAGUCGGUCCCAAGGGUUGGGCUGUUCGCCCAUUAAAGCGGCACGCGAGCUGGGUUCAGAACGUCGUGAGACAGUUCGGUCCCUAUCCGUCGCGGGCGUUGGAAAUUUGAGAGGAGCUGUCCUUAGUACGAGAGGACCGGGAUGGACUUACCGCUGGUGUACCAGUUGUUCUGCCAAGGGCAUUGCUGGGUAGCUAUGUAGGGAAGGGAUAAACGCUGAAAGCAUCUAAGUGUGAAGCCCACCUCAAGAUGAGAUUUCCCAUUUCUUUAAGAAAGUAAGAUCCCUGAGAGAUGAUCAGGUAGAUAGGUCAGGAGUGGAAGUACAGUGAUGUAUGGAGCGGACUGAUACUAAUCGAUCGAGGACUUAACCAA
RNAcentral lists this ribosomal RNA (2912 nucleotides) under Enterococcus faecium Aus0085. RNAcentral describes it as "bacterial LSU rRNA". It matches the Rfam family "Bacterial large subunit ribosomal RNA". The record is from RNAcentral. Lineage: Bacteria; Bacillati; Bacillota; Bacilli; Lactobacillales; Enterococcaceae.